This 433-nucleotide ribosomal RNA is filed under the name uncultured bacterium. RNAcentral's name for it is "partial 16S ribosomal RNA". It matches the Rfam family "Bacterial small subunit ribosomal RNA", at positions 29 to 507 of the family's 1533-position model. The record is from RNAcentral.
AACGAACGCUGGCGGCAGGCUUAACACAUGCAAGUCGAACGGAUCCUUCGGGAUUAGUGGCAGACGGGUGAGUAACGCGUGGGAACGUACCCUUUGCUACGGAAUAACUCAGGGAAACUUGAGCUAAUACCGUAUGUGCCCUACGGGGGAAAGAUUUAUCGGCAAAGGAUCGGCCCGCGUUGGAUUAGCUAGUUGGUGGGGUAAUGGCCUACCAAGGCGACGAUCCAUAGCUGGUCUGAGAGGAUGAUCAGCCACACUGGGACUGAGACACGGCCCAGACUCCUUAGGGAGGGAGGCGUGGGGGAAAAUGGGAAAUGGGGGGAAGGCCGGUCCAGCCAUGGCGGGGGGAGGAAGAAGGUUUUAGGAUUGUAAAGCUCUUUCACCGGUGAAGAUAAUGACGGUAGCCGGAGAAGAAGCCCCGGCUAACUUCGUG